GUGCCAGCAGCCGCGGUAAUACGUAGGGGGCAAGCGUUAUCCGGAAUCACUGGGUGUAAAGGGUGCGUAGGCGGUUAUGCAAGUCAGAUGUGAAAUACCGAAGCUUAACUUCGGGGCUGCAUUUGAAACUGUGUGACUAGAGUACAGGAGAGGUAAGUGGAAUUCCUAGUGUAGCGGUGAAAUGCGUAGAUAUUAGGAAGAACACCAGUGGCGAAGGCGACUUACUGGACUGAAACUGACGCUGAGGCACGAAAGCGUGGGGAGCAAACAGGAUUAGAAACCCCGGUAGUCC
RNAcentral lists this ribosomal RNA (292 nucleotides) under uncultured bacterium. RNAcentral's name for it is "partial 16S ribosomal RNA". It matches the Rfam family "Bacterial small subunit ribosomal RNA", at positions 505 to 796 of the family's 1533-position model. The record is from RNAcentral.